UGUCGCGCGGUCACACGGAUCCUCAGUUCGCAUUCGGAGGCCCUGCGAGCUACAUCUCUUUGAGAAGGAAAAGAAAGAGUCGACGGGAGCUUUCAAGUUUCCCCCUCCACGGGAUCCGCGGCAAAGAUUCUUCGAUCCGAAAAAGUGCCAAGUUUCUCUCGCACGUACUCUCUCUGUCAUCGGUAUAUAUACAUAUACACACAUACGUAAUCGUCUUUCGUUUUCACGGUGAUCUCUACACGUGACAAGCUGAGCAUCGAAGAGGCUCGAAGGCAAGAGAGCGGCGUGCUUGUUCGACGCGAGAGGAGAUAUAUUUCGUUUAUUCGAUCGUUUGAAUUGGUUGAUUUCGCGAAUUUGAUUCGCGUCCUUGUUGAUCUCCUCGUACGCUUGAGAGAAUUGAAACGGGUGUGCUUCCAAUGUAAAUCUACAAGAGCGUAUCGUCGGAGUGGCAGUUUUUGUGUUAUCGAAGUUGGUAUACGUAUUACCGCGGUUUUUUCACGAUUUCCACGUACACUGUCCUGCUCUGAAGAAGAAGGAGAAGAAGAAAAACAAGGCUUAGCCACAGCCGGAUCGCAACUACGUUAAAACUAGCUCCAGUGUGUUUUUGUGCGAAAUCGAGAGAACAUGUCGACUGCCGUCAUGAGCACCCCUAUGUUCGACUGUAGCAGCGAGCACAUAUUUAAGAACGCGAAGGCGAAGGAAGCAACAUCGGGAUCCGCGGCGAACGGGUCGAGCAACGGUUCGAGCGGGAACAACGGGGGACACGCGCCACUUCGUCGCUACACGUCCCUGGUAACAACCCUGAUCGAGCAACACCGUAAACUGGAUCGCAGCGCGAGCGAGCCGACCUCCCGGUACAAGACCGAGUUGUGCAGGCCAUUCGAGGAAAGCGGCACCUGCAAAUAUGGCGACAAGUGUCAGUUCGCUCACGGGUACAGCGAGUUGCGCAACCUCGCCCGCCAUCCCAAAUACAAGACCGAGCUGUGCCGCACGUUUCACACGAUCGGUUUCUGCCCGUACGGGCCCCGUUGCCAUUUCAUCCACAACUUCGAGGAGGCCCGGAUCCACAAUCAGAAAGUGAGCGCCCAGCUGGGAUCCACCCAGCCCAACAUAAUAAGCCUGAACCCUUUGUUGAGCGCGGCAGCGGCGGCGGCCGUGGCCGCUGGUGGAAACGGGUCCAACGUGAACUCGAGCAGCAACGUCUCGUUGCUCGAGCAGAUCGUCGCCUCCCCGCAGGUGACGGCGAUCGCUGCCGCGGCGACCACCCCCAACCUCAUGAGAACCAACUCGUUGAGCUUGUGCAACUCGAGCAACUCGGUGUACAACCCGCCGCCGUUGCUAAGAACGAACUCGUUGAGCUUGACGACCAGCCAACACCAUCACCAUCACCAUCACCAUCACCACCAUCAUCAGACCGGUUCGACGAGCGCGAGCUCGGUGAUCGGCGCCACCAGGCCCAAGCCGUUGAAUCUCAGCCCGACCUUCUCGCUUGGCAGCACCGGGGACUCGAUUUCACCUUCGUCCAGCCUCAGUCAGUCGCCCACCAACUCGAUGGCGAGUUUCUUCAGCGACGACUGUAAUCAACAACCGUCCGUCACCAGCCUACCCACCACGCCGUUCAGUUUCGGCCAGGAUUUCGGCCUUCUCGCGACCAGGCAAAGCCCCAGCCCGCGAACCAACAGCGUUUGCAGUCCUUUGGGCUCGGACGAGCUCGCGCCAAGGACACCGUCCCCGUUGUCGCCCAACGCCGAGUCCAGGCUCCCCGUAUUCAACAGGAUCAGCAGCACUCUCACCGACUUCGACAAUCUUAAGAUCUAAGGGGAGCUCUCCUUUCCGACUCCUGGGUCCUUCCACUCUUUGGUAUUUUAUUCUUUUUGUUUUCUUCUUCUUCUUCUUCUUCUUCUUUUUCUACUAUUAUUACUACCACUACUACUAUUUCUUCUUCUUCUUUCUUUCUUUCUUUCCUUCUUUCCCCGCGAUCUUUGUAAAAGAUGUACGUACGAUACGCGUACGAGGAUGUUUCGAACAACACGCGCAAAGGAAGAACAAGAGAGAGGACACAAAGAGCGUUGGACCCAAAAAUAUAUAACUAUUCUAAUUUAAUGAUAUCGAUGGAAAAGACAGGAGAAUGUGUUUAAGGGAGAGGGACACGGACUCUUCCACCGACUUGAAGAGGUUUUUUUUUUUUCCUUUUUCUUCGUCUUCUUCUUCUUCUUCUUUUUAUUCUUUUUACUACGCAUAUAUACACACACAUACACACACACACACACAAAUAUAUAUAUAUAUUUUUUUUAACAUUUAAACUGCAUUUCUCGCGUUAGACGGAUCCUUCCUCUCCGUCAGCUUCUUAUUUAAGCGUUUCUUUUCUGUUCGUAGGACACGUUAGGCAUCUUACUCUCGUUCUUU
Molecule: unclassified non-coding RNA, 2406 nt
Filed under: Apis florea (little honeybee)
Lineage: Eukaryota; Metazoa; Arthropoda; Insecta; Hymenoptera; Apidae
Description: protein TIS11, transcript variant X1
Source: RNAcentral